RNAcentral lists this ribosomal RNA (254 nucleotides) under uncultured bacterium. RNAcentral's name for it is "partial 16S ribosomal RNA". It matches the Rfam family "Bacterial small subunit ribosomal RNA", at positions 524 to 776 of the family's 1533-position model. The record is from RNAcentral.
UACGUAGGUGGCAAGCGUUGUCCGGAUUUAUUGGGUUUAAAGGGUGCGUAGGCGGCUUAAUAAGUCAGUGGUAAAAGGUAGCAGCUUAACUGUUUUACACGCCAUUGAUACUGUUGAGCUUGAAUACACUGGAGGCAGAUAGAAUUCCUGAUGUAGCGGUGAAAUGCAUAGAUAUCAGGAGGAAUACCGAUUGCGAAGGCAGUCUGCUGUGGUGUUAUUGACGCUGAGGCACGAAAGUGCGGGGAUCAAACAGG